Molecule: long non-coding RNA, 278 nt
Filed under: Nicotiana benthamiana
Lineage: Eukaryota; Viridiplantae; Streptophyta; Magnoliopsida; Solanales; Solanaceae
Description: long non-coding RNA (NBEN_LNC001586)
Source: RNAcentral
CCCCCCCCAAACCAAAAAAAAGAAAGAAAAAAAAUCAUCUCCAAUACAGAAGAAGAAAUAAAAAUAGAAAAAUCAUGGUCUUUGCAUAAAUUUUAGCAGUAUUAAUCAUAUUUUUCAUUUGUCUUCGGAUGUUGCAGGCCCUUGAAGACUCUCCUGAAGAACAACCCAGUGCUAGCCCUCAACCCUGCAUUAAUUCUGACGAUAGCUCUUCUGAAUACAACGAGAACUUUCUGGAUGAUGUGUAUGAGGAAGAAAGUUGGUCCUCCGACUCAGACAGC